Long non-coding RNA from Onychomys torridus (southern grasshopper mouse), 1051 nucleotides. RefSeq lists it as uncharacterized. The record is from RefSeq and is a predicted model, not a curated record. Lineage: Eukaryota; Metazoa; Chordata; Mammalia; Rodentia; Cricetidae. The transcript is spliced from 3 exons.
CAUCCCCGGCCCCGGCUGGAGCGGCCCCCACUCACCCAGCGACGCCGAGACACCGACUGCGCAGGGAAGGCGGCGCUGCUGCGGCGCGCGGCGGCAGAGGCGGCCGGAGGGGCGGGCAGGACUGCGAGGGAGACGCCCCGCAGCGUUGGCCCGGAGCCCCUCCCCUGGGGGGGUCCCCACCAGCAGCUAGGCUCCGCCCCCGCCCCCGCCCGGGAGAGGGAACGGGACGCCCUCACUGCCCCGGGCCCCCUCUCUCGGGAGCACCCCACCGUGGGAAGAAGAUCGGGACCCCCAGUUCUGCAGGUCGACUCGGGGAGACCAAGGAAAGAGGCUGAUCAGUGCUCAGGGACCACUCUCCUAAGCCGGGAACAAUCCGGGGCAGCGCCACCCGAUUCCUCCCAACCCCUACCUGGGCGCGGGGCCGCCUGUCGCUCCGAGGGUGGAAUCCAAUAGGCACCCUCUCUGCCCCCGCGCCUCAACUCCGGAGCCAGCUGAGCUGGGGGUUCUUUGGAGAGGAUGUGGACCUUACUGUGUUCUACAUUGCCGAUGAGGAAACUGAGAAUUAGAAGGGUUAAUUGCUUUUUCCAAUGUCCACCAGCUAGUGGUGACUUGAAUUCAAGUGCUCUCAUUCAUCCAUUUCAAAAAUAUGUUUCAAGCUUUGCUUCUGCACGCCACACUGUUCCAGACCGUCAGGUUGCAAUCAUGCAGAAGAAACAAUGAUAGAACAUACAUAGUCAGUUCUGUGGUGUGUUAGAUAAGCAAUUGGAAGAAAGCUUGGGAAAGCAGCAGAUGGAGAGCAACGGGCACUUCAGAUUGCAUUCCAGGAGUAUGCUUCCGAGGGUAGGACUGAGUCUCCACGUCCAGGGCAUCUCCUUUCUUCGCCUGUUUCUGUCUGUCAAUGAGCACCUCUGAAAGCAGAGACAGACCUCCUGGGAGCUGCUGGCUGCUCGCACCAGCCACCUCUACCUUCCCAGGAGCCAUCGCAGCACUGGACAGGCUCUUGAGCCAAAGAGGAGGCCUAGGGGUUCCCCACACUCAAAAAGACCCUGGA